UUCUGGCUCAGGAUGAACGCUAGCGGCAGGCUUAACACAUGCAAGUCGAGGGGCAUCGGGAGUAGCAAUACUGCCGGCGACCGGCGCAAGGGUGCGUAACGCGUGAGCAACAUGCCCGUAUCAGGGGGAUAAUCCAUGGAAACGUGGUCUAAUACCCCAUAGUAAUUAUGUAAGGCAUCUUAUAUAAUUUAAAGCUUUGGUGGAUACGGAUUGGCUCGCGUGACAUUAGCUGGAUGGUAAGGUAACGGCUUACCAUGGCUACGAUGUCUAGGGGUUCUGAGAGGAAGGCCCCCCACACUGGAACUGAGACACGGUCCAGACUCCUACGGGAGGCAGCAGUGAGGAAUAUUGGACAAUGGAUGGAAAUCUGAUCCAGCCAUGCCGCGUGCAAGGAAGACGGCCCUAUGGGUUGUAAACUGCUUUUGUAUGGGAGCAAUAAGGGCUACGUGUAGUCCGAUGAGAGUACCAUACGAAUAAGCACCGGCUAACUCCGUGCCAGCAGCUGC
Molecule: ribosomal RNA, 506 nt
Filed under: uncultured bacterium
Lineage: Bacteria
Description: bacterial SSU rRNA
Rfam family: Bacterial small subunit ribosomal RNA
Source: RNAcentral